This is a long non-coding RNA of Homalodisca vitripennis (glassy-winged sharpshooter), 1618 nucleotides long. RefSeq lists it as uncharacterized. The transcript has 3 exons. NCBI's taxonomy places the organism in Eukaryota, Metazoa, Arthropoda, Insecta, Hemiptera, Cicadellidae. The record is from RefSeq and is a predicted model, not a curated record.
AACAGACUGACAGAGAUAUCGGGACUAGAUGCUCUGACGGAGCUGCAGGAGUUGUAUCUCUCAGAGAAUGGGAUCACCCAGAUCCAUGGUUUAGACCACAACACCAAGAUCUCCACCCUGGAUCUGGCUCAGAACAAGAUCACCUCCAUCAGUGGCAUUUCUCACUUGCAAACAACUAGAGGAGUUUUGGUUGAACGACAACCUGGUGAGUGACUGGAGCAAUGUGGAUGUCCUGUCGCACAACAAACAACUGGUGACUGUGUACUUGGACCACAACCCCAUCGCCAAGGAUACCAACUACAGGCGCAAAAUCAAGUUAGCUGUACCAUGGAUUUCACAAAUAGAUGCCACUCUAGCCAGAUAAGAGCUGAUAGCAGCGGAAUCUGCCCAUUUCCUACUACUAGAAUCUGUUUCUACUCCUCUCACUGUACUGAGAUGAUCGCAGUCUUGUAACUGGUGGAACCGAUUCGAUUUGUAUUGGUCACUAAAAUUAAAUUAACCUUGUGCGAGGUAAACUAUUCAUCGUUAUUCUGAAAGAUGAAAACAUGGAUGAUGAAAUGUUUUGUAUGUUUUAAAAUUUAUAGUUUGUACAAGUGAAUGUCAGUAAAAUUGGUACAUUGUGAAAUGUCAUAUUAAUGUCAUGUACUUGAAAAUAUAUUUCAAAACUUGUUGAUUCAUAUCAUUACAAAAAUGUUGAACACUGUGUUUUUUUAACCCUUAUUCUGGCUAAAACCGAAUUUUUGAUAUGAACAAUUGUGAAUCAUUUUUCAUAUUGACAUUAUUCAGGUAUCUUUGGAAACAUUCUGUUGUGAGCAAAUGUUAUGUAUUUUACAUUUCUUAGCCUGUGAUGAUGUGACAGAGGAGAAACUUAUUUGUUGAAGACACAGUAAUGUAAGCAGUAAUUAAUUAAAAGCUUUGUUUCAUUACUACUGCAUUUCACCUGAAUUGAAUGUGUUCUGUUACAAUUUGAUAUGUUUAUUCAGUAUUAAAUUUAUGGUACUAUAUAAUAUAUUAGUAUUGUAAUUUCAGUUAGUAAAUCAUAGCACAGUAUUUUUUAAUAUAUUAAGUAAAAAUAAAGAAAACUAAAUGCCUUUACUUUAUAAAUCAAACCCCUUUUAUUUAACAUUAUUCUUCUUCGCUUUGGUAAUAGGGAUCCAUUUUUAUAUUAGGAAAAUAUACAUUCCUUUAUAAAUUUAACAACAGUUGUUAUCUAAUAAAACAAAAAUUAACUUGUUUUAUUAUCUUAUCACUUAGCUUAAAUGUUCUUUGAUCAAAAUUUAUCAUUUCUUCUUUACAAAUCUGUAAAAUGAAUAUUUUAUUUGAAUAAAUCAAGCAUUUUGUUUUGUCUAAAUAAAUUGUUACUAUCAAAUAUAAUAAUUAUUAUUAUUUUCUUUGGCUCAUUUUGAAAAUAAUAAUUCCAUGACAAUUUGCUAUAUAUAUAUAUAUAUAUAUAUAUAUAUAUAUAUAUAUUUUAUUCUCUUGUUCAGGAAUGGCUUGGAAACAAACAGUAAAAUAAAACCAGAUGGAGGGUUAAUUAAAGCAGUCCAAUUAAACAACAAUUGCAAUUACAAUCAUUCAUCUAGAAUUGUACAUGGAAUGAAUGAAUACAUUCUUGUGU